GGAAGAUGUCAGGGCAGGGAUGUCCUGCUCACCCCCAUCAGCUGUGACUGUCUGCCCAGUGUAACAGCUCUUAAAGCCCAUGUGCAGCAUGGGGUGCCUCCUCUCCUUGGACUUGCUUUGAGAGACUGGAAUUGUUCCAUGGAGAGAGACAAGGUGCUGCAGAGGACAUCCUUGGGAGUCUUCCUGGGACUUCCAUUGUCUGGAGGAAUCUAAGGAAAUCCACCCAGGCUAAGCUCAGGAAAAACAGGAGCAGGGAGCAGCUAUAAACCAGCCUGUUCAUCGUGGGCA
Molecule: long non-coding RNA, 288 nt
Filed under: Junco hyemalis (dark-eyed junco)
Lineage: Eukaryota; Metazoa; Chordata; Aves; Passeriformes; Passerellidae
Description: lncRNA (ENSJHYG00000013296.1)
Source: RNAcentral